Molecule: ribosomal RNA, 464 nt
Filed under: uncultured bacterium
Lineage: Bacteria
Description: partial 16S ribosomal RNA
Rfam family: Bacterial small subunit ribosomal RNA
Source: RNAcentral
CCUACGGGAGGCAGCAGUAGGGAAUUUUCGUCAAUGGGCGCAAGCCUGAACGAGCAAUGCCGCGUGAACGAGGACGGUCUUCGGAUCGUAAAGUUCUGUUGAAGGGGAAAAAGAGCGGAGAGAGGAAAUGGUCUCCGAUUGAUAUUACCCUUCGAGGAAGUCACGGCUAACUACGUGCCAGCAGCCGCGGUAAUGCGUGGGUGGCGAGCGUUAUCCGGAAUGAUUGGGCGUAAAGGGGGCGUAGGCGUCCUGCUAGGUCUGGGGUGAAAGGUACCGGCUCAACCGGUACAGGCAAUGGAAACUGGCGGGCUAGAGAGCAGGAGAGGGAGGUGGAACUCGAUGUGUAGCGGUAAAAUGCGUAGAUAUAUGGAAGAACACCAGUGGCGAAGGCGGCCGCCUGGCCUGUUACUGACGCUGAGGCACGAAAGCGUGGGGAGCAAAUAGGAUUAGAUACCCCAGUAGUC